This 497-nucleotide ribosomal RNA is filed under the name uncultured bacterium. RNAcentral's name for it is "partial 16S ribosomal RNA". It matches the Rfam family "Bacterial small subunit ribosomal RNA", at positions 28 to 507 of the family's 1533-position model. The record is from RNAcentral.
GAUGAACGCUGGCGGCGUGCCUAAUACAUGCAAGUCGAGCGAACAGACGAGGAGCUUGCUCCCCUGACGUUAGCGGCGGACGGGUGAGUAACACGUGGAUAAUCUAUCUAUAAGACUGGGAAAACUUCGGGAAACCGGAGCUAAUACCGGAUAAUAUAUUGAACCGUAUGGUUCAAUAGUGAAAGACGGUUUUGUUGCUACUUAUAGAUGGAUCGGGGCAGCAUAAGCUGGUUGGUAGGGUAACGGCUUACCACGGCGACGAUGCGUAGCCGACCUGAGAGGGUGAUCGCCCACACUGGAACGGGGACACGCUCCAGACUCCUACGGAAGGCAGCAGUAGGGAAUCUUCCGCAAUGGGCGAAGGCCUGACGGGGCAACGCCGCGUGAGUGAUGAAGGUCUUCGGAUCGUAAGACUCGGUUAUUAGGGAAGAACAAAUGUGUAAGUAACUGUGCACGUCUUGACGGUACCUAAUCAGAAAGCCACGGCUAACUACGUG